CGUGUAGGCAGCUUAUUAAGUCAGAUGUGAAAGCCCACGGCUUAACCGUGGAACUGCAUUUGAUACUGAUAGACUUGAGUGUGAGAAGGGGUAGUGGAAUUCCCAGUGUAGCGGUGAAAUGCGUAGAUAUUGGGAAGAACACCAGUAGCGAAGGCGACUACCUGGCUCAUUACUGACGCUAAUGCGCGAAAGCGCGGGGAGCAAACA
This 207-nucleotide ribosomal RNA is filed under the name uncultured bacterium. RNAcentral describes it as "partial 16S ribosomal RNA". It matches the Rfam family "Bacterial small subunit ribosomal RNA", at positions 568 to 774 of the family's 1533-position model. The record is from RNAcentral.